This 294-nucleotide ribosomal RNA is filed under the name uncultured bacterium. RNAcentral's name for it is "partial 16S ribosomal RNA". It matches the Rfam family "Bacterial small subunit ribosomal RNA", at positions 29 to 346 of the family's 1533-position model. The record is from RNAcentral.
AACGAACGCUGGCGGCAGGCCUAAAACAUGCAAGUCGAGCGGGCAUAGCAAUAGUGUCAGCGGGCGGACGGGUGAAUAACACGUGGGAACAUGCCCUUUGGUACGGAACAACUCAGGGAAACUUGAGCUAAUACCGUAUGUGCCGGUAACGGGAAAGAUUUAUCGCCAAAGGAUUGGCCCGCGUCCGAUUAGCUAGUUGGUGAGGUAACGGCUCACCAAGGCGACGAUCGGUAGCUGGUUUGAGAGAACGAUCAGCCACACUGGGACUGAGACACGGCCCAGACUCCUACGGGA